Molecule: unclassified non-coding RNA, 268 nt
Filed under: Hevea brasiliensis (rubber tree)
Lineage: Eukaryota; Viridiplantae; Streptophyta; Magnoliopsida; Malpighiales; Euphorbiaceae
Source: RNAcentral
CUAACACUGAUGAGACUGCUAACAUAAGAUCUCAGUGACUCGAAAUCUUGUUUCACACGAGAAAGCUCCUGCUCAUUGUCUGCUGCUCGCUGCCGCUGCCUUGAAGUUUCUAGCACCAUAUCUUCGACCUUCUGCCGCAUCUCGUUCAGAAUACCAUUUGCACCAUGGGCAAGCCGUUCCAUCUCCUCAACCUUAGUUGACAUGCUCUCAAUUUGGAGUGUCUUCUUCUUAAUUUCUUCGAUUCCUGAAUUUACUUUUUCUUUCUCGG